This 89-nucleotide unclassified non-coding RNA is filed under the name Pseudomonas gessardii. The record is from RNAcentral. Lineage: Bacteria; Pseudomonadati; Pseudomonadota; Gammaproteobacteria; Pseudomonadales; Pseudomonadaceae.
UGUGGGAGCGGGCUUGCCCGCGAUUGCGGUGGGUCAGUCAAAUACUUAUCAACUGACCCACUGCUAUCGCGGGCAAGCCCGCUCCCACA